RNAcentral lists this ribosomal RNA (465 nucleotides) under uncultured bacterium. Its description in RNAcentral is "partial 16S ribosomal RNA". It matches the Rfam family "Bacterial small subunit ribosomal RNA", at positions 28 to 507 of the family's 1533-position model. The record is from RNAcentral.
GACGAACGCUGGCGGCGUGCUUAACACAUGCAAGUCGAACGGAAAGGCCCCCUUGUGGGGUACUCGAGUGGCGAACGGGUGAGUAACACGUGAGUAACCUACCCUUGACUUUGGGAUAACUUCAGGAAACUGGGGCUAAUACCGGAUAGGAGCUCCUGCUGCAUGGUGGGGGUUGGAAAGUUUCGGCGGCUGGGGAUGGACUCGCGGCUUAUCAGCUUGUUGGUGGGGUAGUGGCUCACCAAGGCCUUGACGGGUAGCCGGCCUGAGAGGGUGACCGGCCACAUUGGGACUGAGAUACGGCCCAGACUCCUACGGGAGGCAGCAGUGGGGAAUAUUGCACAAUGGGCGGAAGCCUGAUGCAGCAACGCCGCGUGCGGGAUGACGGCCUUCGGGUUGUAAACCGCUUUCGCCUGUGACGAAGCGUGAGUGACGGUAAUGGGUAAAGAAGCACCGGCUAACUACGUG